ACUCAACACGAAUCUAUUAUGAAGGACGAGUCUUAAUUGCUAAAGCAAGCCUUAGAUAUUGAAUCAACUUCAUUAUCAAGAGGAUCCUUGAUCAGUUAGUUAGUUCUAUACAUGUCAUAAUGGAGUUU
Molecule: small RNA, 128 nt
Filed under: Flavobacteriaceae bacterium
Lineage: Bacteria; Pseudomonadati; Bacteroidota; Flavobacteriia; Flavobacteriales; Flavobacteriaceae
Description: 6S RNA
Rfam family: 6S-Flavo RNA
Source: RNAcentral